MicroRNA precursor from Danio rerio (zebrafish), 95 nucleotides. Ensembl annotates it as microRNA 92a-2. Its record names the gene mir92a-2. NCBI's taxonomy places the organism in Eukaryota, Metazoa, Chordata, Actinopteri, Cypriniformes, Danionidae. The record is from Ensembl.
ACAGCAUCCCUUUCUUUGCAGGUUGGGAUCGGCCGCAAUGCUCUGUGCUGGAAGUAUUGCACUUGUCCCGGCCUGUGAAGAGCAUGGGAAAUUGU